UGUAUAAUGGGUCAGCGACUUAUAUUCUGUAGCAAGGUUAACCGAAUAGGGGAGCCGAAGGGAAACCGAGUCUUAACUGGGCGUUAAGUUGCAGGGUAUAGACCCGAAACCCGGUGAUCUAGCCAUGGGCAGGUUGAAGGUUGGGUAACACUAACUGGAGGACCGAACCGACUAAUGUUGAAAAAUUAGCGGAUGACUUGUGGCUGGGGGUGAAAGGCCAAUCAAACCGGGAGAUAGCUGGUUCUCCCCGAAAGCUAUUUAGGUAGCGCCUCGUGAAUUCAUCUCCGGGGGUAGAGCACUGUUUCGGCAAGGGGGUCAUCCCGACUUACCAACCCGAUGCAAACUGCGAAUACCGGAGAAUGUUAUCACGGGAGACACACGGCGGGUGCUAACGUCCGUCGUGAAGAGGGAAACAACCCAGACCGCCAGCUAAGGUCCCAAAGUCAUGGUUAAGUGGGAAACGAUGUGGGAAGGCCCAGACAGCCAGGAUGUUGGCUUAGAAGCAGCCAUCAUUUAAAGAAAGCGUAAUAGCUCACUGGUCGAGUCGGCCUGCGCGGAAGAUGUAACGGGGCUAAACCAUGCACCGAAGCUGCGGCAGCGACGCUUAUGCGUUGUUGGGUAGGGGAGCGUUCUGUAAGCCUGCGAAGGUGUGCUGUGAGGCAUGCUGGAGGUAUCAGAAGUGCGAAUGCUGACAUAAGUAACGAUAAAGCGGGUGAAA
Molecule: ribosomal RNA, 718 nt
Filed under: Escherichia coli
Lineage: Bacteria; Pseudomonadati; Pseudomonadota; Gammaproteobacteria; Enterobacterales; Enterobacteriaceae
Description: partial 23S ribosomal RNA
Rfam family: Bacterial large subunit ribosomal RNA
Source: RNAcentral